Molecule: transfer RNA, 73 nt
Filed under: Cricetulus griseus (Chinese hamster)
Lineage: Eukaryota; Metazoa; Chordata; Mammalia; Rodentia; Cricetidae
Rfam family: tRNA
About the family: Transfer RNA (tRNA) molecules are approximately 80 nucleotides in length. Their secondary structure includes four short double-helical elements and three loops (D, anti-codon, and T loops). Further hydrogen bonds mediate the characteristic L-shaped molecular structure. tRNAs have two regions of fundamental functional importance: the anti-codon, which is responsible for specific mRNA codon recognition, and the 3' end, to which the tRNAs corresponding amino acid is attached (by aminoacyl-tRNA synthetases). tRNAs cope with the degeneracy of the genetic code in two manners: having more than one tRNA (with a specific anti-codon) for a particular amino acid; and 'wobble' base-pairing, i.e. permitting non-standard base-pairing at the 3rd anti-codon position.
Source: Rfam by way of RNAcentral
GGAGAGGUGGCUCAGUGGUUAAGAGCACUUGUUGUUCUUGCAGAAGACCCAGGUUCAAUUCCCAGCAUCUCCU